RNAcentral lists this ribosomal RNA (303 nucleotides) under uncultured bacterium. RNAcentral describes it as "partial 16S ribosomal RNA". It matches the Rfam family "Bacterial small subunit ribosomal RNA", at positions 507 to 807 of the family's 1533-position model. The record is from RNAcentral.
AGCAGUAGCCGCGGUAAUACGGAGGGUGCAAGCGUUAAUCGGAAUUACUGGGCGUAAAGCGCACGCAGGCGGUCUGUCAAGUCGGAUGUGAAAUCCCCGGGCUCAACCUGGGAACUGCAUUCGAAACUGGCAGGCUAGAGUCUUGUAGAGGGGGGUAGAAUUCCAGGUGUAGCGGUGAAAUGCGUAGAGAUCUGGAGGAAUACCGGUGGCGAAGGCGGCCCCCUGGACAAAGACUGACGCUCAGGUGCGAAAGCGUGGGGAGCAAACAGGAUUAGAUACCCCUGUAGUCCCUGUCUCUUAUAC